This 261-nucleotide ribosomal RNA is filed under the name Paenibacillus polymyxa. RNAcentral's name for it is "partial 23S ribosomal RNA". It matches the Rfam family "Bacterial large subunit ribosomal RNA", at positions 2659 to 2925 of the family's 2925-position model. Lineage: Bacteria; Bacillati; Bacillota; Bacilli; Caryophanales; Paenibacillaceae. The record is from RNAcentral.
AAUUUGAGAGGAGCUGUCCUUAGUACGAGAGGACCGGGAUGGACGUACCGCUGGUGUACCAGUUGUUCCGCCAGGAGCACCGCUGGGUAGCUAUGUACGGAAGGGAUAAGCGCUGAAAGCAUCUAAGCGUGAAGCCCCCCUCAAGAUGAGAUUUCCCAGUAUGUAAGACCCCUUGAAGACGACGAGGUAGAUAGGUUGGGGGUGGAAGUGCAGCAAUGCAUGGAGCUGACCAAUACUAAUCGGUCGAGGGCUUAUCCUAAA